RNAcentral lists this ribosomal RNA (645 nucleotides) under uncultured bacterium. RNAcentral describes it as "bacterial SSU rRNA". It matches the Rfam family "Bacterial small subunit ribosomal RNA", at positions 28 to 669 of the family's 1533-position model. The record is from RNAcentral.
GAUAAACGCUGGCGGCAUUCCUAAUACAUGCAAGUCGAACGCACGUAGCAAUACGUGAGUGGCGAACGGGUGAGUAACACGUAAGCAACCUAUCCCAAAGACGAGGAUAACGUCUGGAAACGGACGCUAAAACUGGAUAGGACAAGGGGACAGAAGUUUUCUUGUUUAAAGGCGCUGAAAGGCGCUGCUAUGGGAGGGGCUUGCGGCGCAUUAGAUAGUUGGGGAGGUAACGGCUCACCAAGUCAACGAUGCGUAGCUGAGCUGAGAGGCUGAACAGCCACACUGGGACUGAGACACGGCCCAGACUCCUACGGGAGGCAGCAGUAGGGAAUUUUCGGCAAUGGGCGGAAGCCUGACCGAGCAAUGCCGCGUGAACGAAGAAGGUCUUCGGAUUGUAAAGUUCUGUUAUUCGGAAAGAAAGGUAAAGUCAGGAAAUGGGCUAUAUUUGACGGUACCGAAUGAGGAAGCCCCGGCUAACUACGUGCCAGCAGCCGCGGUAAUACGUAGGGGGCAAGCGUUAUCCGGAAUUAUUGGGCGUAAAGCGUGCGUAGGCGGUUUAUUAAGUCAGUUGUAAAAGAUCACAGCCCAACUGUGUAGGGCAAUUGAAGCUGGUAGACUUGAGUACGGUAGAGGUAAGUGGAAUUC